RNAcentral lists this ribosomal RNA (1359 nucleotides) under Latilactobacillus graminis. RNAcentral describes it as "bacterial SSU rRNA". It matches the Rfam family "Bacterial small subunit ribosomal RNA", at positions 70 to 1417 of the family's 1533-position model. The record is from RNAcentral. Lineage: Bacteria; Bacillati; Bacillota; Bacilli; Lactobacillales; Lactobacillaceae.
UUCUGAUUGAUAACAUUUGAGUGAGUGGCGGACGGGUGAGUAACACGUGGGUAACCUGCCCUAAAGUGGGGGAUAACAUUUGGAAACAGAUGCUAAUACCGCAUAAAACCUAGCACCGCAUGGUGCAAGGUUGAAAGAUGGUUUCGGCUAUCACUUUAGGAUGGACCCGCGGUGCAUUAGUUAGUUGGUGAGGUAAAGGCUCACCAAGACCGUGAUGCAUAGCCGACCUGAGAGGGUAAUCGGCCACACUGGGACUGAGACACGGCCCAGACUCCUACGGGAGGCAGCAGUAGGGAAUCUUCCACAAUGGACGAAAGUCUGAUGGAGCAACGCCGCGUGAGUGAAGAAGGUUUUCGGAUCGUAAAACUCUGUUGUUGGAGAAGAACGUAUUUGAUAGUAACUGAUCAGGUAGUGACGGUAUCCAACCAGAAAGCCACGGCUAACUACGUGCCAGCAGCCGCGGUAAUACGUAGGUGGCAAGCGUUGUCCGGAUUUAUUGGGCGUAAAGCGAGCGCAGGCGGUUUCUUAAGUCUGAUGUGAAAGCCUUCGGCUCAACCGAAGAAGUGCAUCGGAAACUGGGAAACUUGAGUGCAGAAGAGGACAGUGGAACUCCAUGUGUAGCGGUGAAAUGCGUAGAUAUAUGGAAGAACACCAGUGGCGAAGGCGGCUGUCUGGUCUGUAACUGACGCUGAGGCUCGAAAGCAUGGGUAGCAAACAGGAUUAGAUACCCUGGUAGUCCAUGCCGUAAACGAUGAGUGCUAGGUGUUGGAGGGUUUCCGCCCUUCAGUGCCGCAGCUAACGCAUUAAGCACUCCGCCUGGGGAGUACGACCGCAAGGUUGAAACUCAAAGGAAUUGACGGGGGCCCGCACAAGCGGUGGAGCAUGUGGUUUAAUUCGAAGCAACGCGAAGAACCUUACCAGGUCUUGACAUCCUUUGACCACUCUAGAGAUAGAGCUUUCCCUUCGGGGACAAAGUGACAGGUGGUGCAUGGUUGUCGUCAGCUCGUGUCGUGAGAUGUUGGGUUAAGUCCCGCAACGAGCGCAACCCUUAUUACUAGUUGCCAGCAUUUAGUUGGGCACUCUAGUGAGACUGCCGGUGACAAACCGGAGGAAGGUGGGGACGACGUCAAAUCAUCAUGCCCCUUAUGACCUGGGCUACACACGUGCUACAAUGGAUGGUACAACGAGUCGCGAGACCGCGAGGUUUAGCUAAUCUCUUAAAACCAUUCUCAGUUCGGAUUGUAGGCUGCAACUCGCCUACAUGAAGCCGGAAUCGCUAGUAAUCGCGGAUCAGCAUGCCGCGGUGAAUACGUUCCCGGGCCUUGUACACACCGCCCGUCACACCAUGAGAGUUUGUAA